Molecule: ribosomal RNA, 253 nt
Filed under: uncultured bacterium
Lineage: Bacteria
Description: partial 16S ribosomal RNA
Rfam family: Bacterial small subunit ribosomal RNA
Source: RNAcentral
UACGGAGGGGACUAGCGUUGUUCGGAAUUACUGGGCGUAAAGCGCACGUAGGCGGAUUUGUAAGUCAGGGGUGAAAUCCCGGGGCUCAACCUCGGAACUGCCUUUGAUACUGCAAAUCUCGAGUCCGGAAGAGGUGAGUGGAAUUCCUAGUGUAGAGGUGAAAUUCGUAGAUAUCAAGCGGAACACCGGUGGCGAAGGCGGCCUUCUGGACAGUGACUGACGCUGAGACGCGAAAGCGUGGGGAGCAAACAGG